GGGUGUUUGAAUCCUCAUUUCACUUCAUCCUCCAGCAGGCAGUGGAACUCUGCGUGGUGAGCCCUUGCUCGGCCACAGAGUACUGCCACCAGGAGGUCACCAAGCAGGAGGGAGACACGGGAGCGAGGGUGACAGACAGGGCGACGAUUGGCUCCUCAGUGCCCCCCGCCACAGAAUGCACACCUCCUGCACUCUCCACGGUCCGAGCGAGUCCCGCAGCCACGCCUGGUGCACAGAGCCAGGAACACGGUUCUCCCAGCGCUUGAGUACUGGACACUCGGUUUUAUCCGGAUUGCAGGGUGUGAAUACGGGACUAAAUAAUCUCCUGUGUAUUUUCCAUUCUGCUCCACAUUUCCAGUCCUCAGAAGUCAGAUGUAAAUCGAAAUCAAGAGAUUUCCUGCGAUCACCCCGGUGCUCUGUAUCCUCUCUGCCUCCCGACUGGAGUCCCGUUUCCUUCAGGAGCAGCAGCCCCUUGCGCGGGAGCCGGCAGAGUUUCCCACACUACAUGCAGUGCUGCUGCUGCUGCUGCUGCUCUCCGCAGGGACAGGGCCUCAUCGGACCCUAUAGCGCCUCCAUCCGGAGAAACCCUUCCACGGUCCUCCAUCCACUGCGAGUGCAAGCAGGGCUCACUGCCACUUUAAAUGAUGCUUAAUGUGCUCCUCAGAAGAAUUCAAAGAGGCAGCACUGUUUUCUGUCUAAAAACCAAGGAAACAGAAGUUUAGAAAGAUGGAUAGAUUUGCCCUAAGCCGUACAACCAAUAAGUAUUAGAGCCAAAAUUUUAAUUAAAGUCUGUUUGAUCCCAGGUGCCUACUUCUAGUAUGUAAUUAGCACCUUAAUUAUUCCCAGACUAGGGCACAGAGAGGGAUAUUUCUAAUAUGUCUGUAUUUAUAGUACUAAUAAUCUUACCAAGUCAAUUUCCCUGAAAAAAAAAAUGGUGCAAAGUCACAUUUGUGUAGAAGAAACAUAACAUGGUGUCAUUUUGAUUUAUUCUGACUUCGUGUGAUUGUUUUAAAGGGAAAACAAUGGCUAGCAGCAGUCUUGAAGUGUCUUCACAGACCUCACCUACAGCUAUCAUUUCACAACUUGCGUUUGAUAUCAGAAUCUAUGGAUUUCACAUACUGAGUCACCCACAGAUGCUCAGAGGAUGAGGGUUACUGAGAGUUUCAAAGGACUUUCUAACUGGGGCCCCUCUUGCUGAGGCUGUCCAUGGCUAAACUGUUCCCCAACUUGAGCUCUGUGGGCAUCGUAUGCAGGGCUGUAUGUCACUCACUCAUCAACAGACAGUUACUGAAUGGCUUAAAGAGGCCAGACAGUAACAUGGAAUAGGACCAUGAAGCUUCUGAGUCUGUAAAGGAAGGGAGUGAGCAGAAAGGAAGGGCAAAAUGUCUUCCCGUGUGACACGG
This 1403-nucleotide long non-coding RNA is filed under the name Chinchilla lanigera (long-tailed chinchilla). RNAcentral describes it as "lncRNA (ENSCLAG00000023946.1)". The record is from RNAcentral. Lineage: Eukaryota; Metazoa; Chordata; Mammalia; Rodentia; Chinchillidae.